Molecule: ribosomal RNA, 1344 nt
Filed under: uncultured bacterium
Lineage: Bacteria
Description: 16S ribosomal RNA
Rfam family: Bacterial small subunit ribosomal RNA
Source: RNAcentral
GACGAACGCUGGCGGCGUGCUUAACACAUGCAAGUCGAACGGAAAGGCCCUGCUUUUGUGGGGUGCUCGAGUGGCGAACGGGUGAGUAACACGUGAGUAACCUGCCCUUGACUUUGGGAUAACUUCAGGAAACUGAGGCUAAUACCGGAUAGGAGCUCCUGCUGCAUGGUGGGGGUUGGAAAGUUUCGGCGGUUGGGGAUGGACUCGCGGCUUAUCAGCUUGUUGGUGGGGUAGUGGCUUACCAAGGCUUUGACGGGUAGCCGGCCUGAGAGGGUGACCGGCCACAUUGGGACUGAGAUACGGCCCAGACUCCUACGGGAGGCAGCAGUGGGGAAUAUUGCACAAUGGGCGGAAGCCUGAUGCAGCAACGCCGCGUGCGGGAUGACGGCCUUCGGGUUGUAAACCGCUUUCGCCUGUGACGAAGCGUGAGUGACGGUAAUGGGUAAAGAAGCACCGGCUAACUACGUGCCAGCAGCCGCGGUGAUACGUAGGGUGCGAGCGUUGUCCGGAUUUAUUGGGCGUAAAGGGCUCGUAGGUGGUUGAUCGCGUCGGAAGUGUAAUCUUGGGGCUUAACCCUGAGCGUGCUUUCGAUACGGGUUGACUUGAGGAAGGUAGGGGGAGAAUGGAAUUCCUGGUGGAGCGGUGGAAUGCGCAGAUAUCAGGAGGAACACCAGUGGCGAAGGCGGUUCUCUGGGCCUUUCCUGACGCUGAGGAGCGAAAGCGUGGGGAGCGAACAGGCUUAGAUACCCUGGUAGUCCACGCUGUAAACGGUGGGUACUAGGUGUGGGGUCCAUUCCACGGGUUCCGUGCCGUAGCUAACGCUUUAAGUACCCCGCCUGGGGAGUACGGCCGCAAGGCUAAAACUCAAAGGAAUUGACGGGGCCCUGCACAAGCGGCGGAGCAUGCGGAUUAAUUCGAUGCAACGCGUAGAACCUUACCUGGGUUUGACAUGGAUCGGGAGUGCUCAGAGAUGGGUGUGCCUCUUUUGGGGUCGGUUCACAGGUGGUGCAUGGCUGUCGUCAGCUCGUGUCGUGAGAUGUUGGGCUAAGUCCCGCAACGAGCGCAACCCUUGUUCACUGUUGCCAGCACGUUAUGGUGGGGACUCAGUGGAGACCGCCGGGGUCAACUCGGAGGAAGGUGGGGAUGACGUCAAGUCAUCAUGCCCCUUAUGUCCAGGGCUUCACGCAUGCUACAAUGGCUGGUACAGAGAGUGGCGAGCCUGUGAGGGUGAGCGAAUCUCGGAAAGCCGGUCUCAGUUCGGAUUGGGGUCUGCAACUCGACCUCAUGAAGUCGGAGUCGCUAGUAAUCGCAGAUCAGCAACGCUGCGGUGAAAACGUUCCCGGG